RNAcentral lists this ribosomal RNA (497 nucleotides) under uncultured bacterium. Its description in RNAcentral is "partial 16S ribosomal RNA". It matches the Rfam family "Bacterial small subunit ribosomal RNA", at positions 28 to 507 of the family's 1533-position model. The record is from RNAcentral.
GAUGAACGCUGGCGGCGUGCCUAAUACAUGCAAGUCGAGCGAACAGACGAGGAGCUUGCUCCUCUGACGUUAGCGGCGGACGGGUGAGUAACACGUGGAUAACCUACCUAUAAGACUGGGAUAACUUCGGGAAACCGUAUCUAAUACCGGAUAAUAUCUCCAACCGCAUGGUUCAAUAGUUAAAGACGGUUUUGCUGUGACUUAGAGAUGUAUCCGCGCCGCAUUAGUUAGUUGGUAAGGUAACGGCUUACCAAGGCGACGAUGCGUAGCCGACCUGAGAGGGUGAUCGCCCACAUGGGAACUGAGACGCGGUCCAGACUCCUACGGGAGGCAGCAGAAGGGAAUCGUACGCAGUGGGCGAAAGCAUGACGGAGCAACGCCGCGUGAGUGAUGAAGGUCUUCGGAUCGUAAAACUCUGUUAUUAGGGAAGAACAAAUGUGUAAGUAACUAUGCACGUCUUGACGGUACCUAAUCAGAAAGCCACGGCUAACUACGUG